This 586-nucleotide long non-coding RNA is filed under the name Rosa chinensis. RNAcentral's name for it is "sRNA RchiOBHm_Chr4g0409051". The record is from RNAcentral. Lineage: Eukaryota; Viridiplantae; Streptophyta; Magnoliopsida; Rosales; Rosaceae.
AGCGAUCUCUCAAGAGGAUUCAAAACCCAAUAGAAAUCGAUCUCGCAAGAGGAUUCAAAACCCAAUUCUGUCGCUCCUCCGCCACACGCCCCAAACCCAAAGCAAAACAUCGAUCGAUCUCUCAAGAGGAUUCAAAACCCAACUCCGUCGCUCCUCCGCAGCACGCUCCAAACCCAAAGCAUUCCCGGAUCGAUCUCUCUGUCUCUUCAAAACCCAGCUCCUCAUCGAUGGUUUUUGGGACAUGAGUGCAAGAGAUCGAGGUCAUGCUGAAGAUCAAGUCUGAUAUAUGAUAGUGCAGCAAUUUGAGAGUUUGAAGAGGAGGUAGUAGUGUGUACUUUUUAGUUCUCAUUUGGUUUCCUUUAAGAUAUGUUUACAGUACUUUUGUAAAACGAUAAAUCAUGAAGUUUGUAGUUUUUCAUAAUUGAGACCUUAAUCCAUGUGCCUUGUACUAUGUUUUUUUUUUCCUUGUAUUGCUUGGUUGUCAUAUCUAUGGUUGUUCAGUUGCUCUUUGACCAAUAAAGAGCAGCAGAGAUGGUAAUGGGAAAAUAAUAAACCUUAAAAUGUGAUAGAAGGGCUGCUGAAUUGG